This is a non-coding RNA of Guyanagaster necrorhizus, 86 nucleotides long. The record is from the annotation of a RefSeq genome assembly. Lineage: Eukaryota; Fungi; Basidiomycota; Agaricomycetes; Agaricales; Physalacriaceae.
GGGCUCUUGGCACAGAUGGUAGCGCGCACGCUUCGCACCAUUAGUCGUCUUGUGUGAGGUCGUGGGUUCAAUUCUCACAGUGUCCA